Molecule: ribosomal RNA, 425 nt
Filed under: uncultured bacterium
Lineage: Bacteria
Description: bacterial SSU rRNA
Rfam family: Bacterial small subunit ribosomal RNA
Source: RNAcentral
UGGGGAAUCUUGCACAAUGGGCGAAAGCCUGAUGCAGCAACGCCGCGUGGGGGACGAAUGCCUUCGGGUUGUAAACCCCUUUCAGCAGGAACGAAACUGACGGUACCUGCAGAAGAAGCCCCGGCCAACUACGUGCCAGCAGCCGCGGUAAUACGUAGGGGGCGAGCGUUGUCCGGAUUCAUUGGGCGUAAAGAGCUCGUAGGCGGCUUGGUAAGUCAAAUGUGAAACCUCCAGGCUCAACUUGGAGAUGCCACUUGAUACUGCCAUGGCUAGAGUCCGGUAGGGGAUCACGGAAUUCCUGGUGUAGCGGUGAAAUGCGCAGAUAUCAGGAGGAACACCGGUGGCGAAGGCGGUGGUCUGGGCCGGAACUGACGCUGAGGAGCGAAAGCGUGGGGAGCGAACAGGAUUAGAUACCCCCGUAGUCC